RNAcentral lists this ribosomal RNA (254 nucleotides) under uncultured bacterium. Its description in RNAcentral is "partial 16S ribosomal RNA". It matches the Rfam family "Bacterial small subunit ribosomal RNA", at positions 524 to 776 of the family's 1533-position model. The record is from RNAcentral.
UACGUAGGGUGCGAGCGUUGUCCGGAAUUAUUGGGCGUAAAGGGCUCGUAGGCGGUUUGUCGCGUCGGGAGUGAAAACACCGGGCUUAACUCGGUGCUUGCUUUCGAUACGGGCAGACUAGAGGUAUGCAGGGGAGAACGGAAUUCCUGGUGUAGCGGUGAAAAUGCGCAGAUAUCAGGAGGAACACCGGUGGCGAAGGCGGUUCUCUGGGCAUUACCUGACGCUGAGGAGCGAAAGUGUGGGGAGCGAACAGG